This 22-nucleotide microRNA is filed under the name Drosophila simulans. RNAcentral's name for it is "dsi-miR-303-5p". Its record names the gene dsi-miR-303-5p. Lineage: Eukaryota; Metazoa; Arthropoda; Insecta; Diptera; Drosophilidae. The record is from miRBase by way of RNAcentral.
UUGGCAUUAAAGGAAGCUAGUU